Lemur catta (Ring-tailed lemur) is the source of this 1557-nucleotide long non-coding RNA. RefSeq lists it as uncharacterized. Lineage: Eukaryota; Metazoa; Chordata; Mammalia; Primates; Lemuridae. The transcript has 3 exons. The record is from RefSeq and is a predicted model, not a curated record.
GUUGUGCAACCAUCACCACCAUCCAUCGUCAGAACUUUUAUCUCCUAGACUGACUUUUUCCAUAGGAGGCGACUUUAAUAACCCACCUGGUACCUGGAUUUCUUUUACUUUUCACACUGUCUUUUAAUUAUCCUCUUCUGGAUAUUUCCUCUGGGCUUAAAAGGCCCUCUGUGGAGAAGUACAACAUAAGGGAGGUUUAGGUGACCAAAUGGAUCAGGAAAAUCAUGUUUAUCUCCCAAAGUAAAGCAACAACUAUGGGUGACUUUUGGGUUCAACUUAGGAACACUAUUAUUUGAAAGUCCCCAAGAAACUAUUAACUCCAGGUCACCCUGGUGACUCGAAUUUCUUGGAUGUGGGUCUUCAUGGUCUCCAACCAAAAGUCAUUUCCACCCAAGAGGGGUUCAGGUGAAAGCCCCAGGGCCUUCUCUAGGGUACAGGAGCACCCCAGACUGAGCUGGUUGUAGGACGGGCUCAGCGCCCUAGAGAGAAGAGCAGCCCAGAUCAGGGGACAUUUACAUUGAUUUUCCCAGGACAUUUCUACAAAUGGAUUUUGGAUGGAAAUGUUUGUUAUUGUUCUCAAUCAGGUGAUUUUCUCCUAUUUUAAUGAGACCAAAGAAAGACUAUUUUAAUUCUGGCCAAGCUGGUCUUGGGGAUUGAAAAAAAAUCUAACUUUUAGGAAUACUCUGGAAAUGUUGGAAUUCUACAUCUAAGUAGGUAAAUGUUUUUAAUUGAUAACUAACCCAAUAUGUGAAAAUCUAUACAAACAUGAAUAAGAGGAUGACUAAUACUGAAAUUAACAACAGUUUUCUUUUAAAUAUUAAUAGCAAAUUCCUAAAACUGUAUGAUUCUGUUUAUAAGAACGUGUUUCACACUGCUUGGCAAGACCAGUGACUGUGUAAAAUUAACUAUAUAUAUGUAUUUUCCAUGGAUCUAAAACUUUAACUGUCUAUAGGGUUGCUUGUCAUAGUUGAAUAUUGUUUAAUUGCUUUAUAAAUAUUAUUGAUUAUAUUUUGAUAUAUUUUAUAGUCAUUCACUUUUUUAAAAGUUUUAAUUUAUUGAUAACGUAGUCAUUCGCUUUCUUUCAAAUCUUAUUUUUACCACAAUAUGUUUCAUAGCUAGACACAAAAUUAAAUGGGUCCAAAUUGAACAAUUGCUUCUAUGUUAUUGGUUCAAUAUGGUUGGGUCUUCCUUGAUUCCCUUUUGUUUCAAUCCUGUCAUAUUCCUUUAGGCCAAGAAAAUGAAAGCUUAUCUGGAUUAUACUUACGCUUAAUAUCGACAUGGAUUAUAAGUGAGUGGAAAAACCACUCACUCAUAUACUCAGCCACCCUGGACUGAAGUGCUCUGUGGAACAGCCAGAAGUGUCCACGACGUGUUUGCACCUGAAGCUCGUGGAAUGUGUUUGAGGAGCCUCGAGCUCUGUGCAGAAACUGUGGCCCAAGAGCCAGGGUGGAAGAAGGCUGGAUGAGCAGACCACACGUGGAACGGAACCAGGGAAGAUCGUCAUCAUCUAUGGGGCAGACCCAAAGGAACCAACAGAGAUGGAGAAAUUAAUUCUCA